GAUGAACGCUGGCGGCGUGCCUAAUACAUGCAAGUCGAGCGAACAGACGAGGAGCUUGCUCCUCUGACGUUAGCGGCGGACGGGUGAGUAACACGUGGAUAACCUACCUAUAAGACUGGGAUAACUUCGGGAAACCGGAGCUAAUACCGGAUAAUAUAUUGAACCGCAUGGUUCAAUAGUGAAAGACGGUUUUGCUGUCACUUAUAGAUGGAUCCGCGCCGCAUUAGCUAGUUGGUAAGGUAACGGCUUACCAAGGCAACGAUGCGUAGCCGACCUGAGAGGGUGAUCGGCCACACUGGAACUGAGACACGGUCCAGACUCCUACGGGAGGUAGCAGUAGGGAAUCUUCCGCAAUGGGCGAAAGCUUGACGGAGCAACGCCGCGUGAGUGAUGAAGGUCUUCGGAUCGUAAAACUCUGUUAUUAGGGAAGAACAAAUGUGUAAGUAACUAUGCACGUCUUGACGGUACCUAAUCAGAAAGCCACGGCUAACUACGUG
This 497-nucleotide ribosomal RNA is filed under the name uncultured bacterium. RNAcentral's name for it is "partial 16S ribosomal RNA". It matches the Rfam family "Bacterial small subunit ribosomal RNA", at positions 28 to 507 of the family's 1533-position model. The record is from RNAcentral.